UUACCUAGAAAAGGAAUUAGUUCAGAUGUUAGAAGUUCAGAAAGAGAGAGAUGAUGCUGUCAUUAUCAAAGAUGAAUUAUCAAAGAGGUAUGCAUCUCUUCAAUCAGAACUUGCUAAGGAAAGGGAUAUCAUUAAAACAUGGACUAGUUCAGGCAAAACUACUCAGGAUAUCUUAGGUAGUGGAAACUGGAAGAAGGGA
Molecule: long non-coding RNA, 199 nt
Filed under: Daucus carota (carrot)
Lineage: Eukaryota; Viridiplantae; Streptophyta; Magnoliopsida; Apiales; Apiaceae
Description: long non-coding RNA (DCAR_LNC007043)
Source: RNAcentral